CAGAGCAUAGCUAAACAUAUAUAGCACUUCCCUUACACCGAAAAGUUAUCCGCGUAAAUCGGAUUGCCCUGA
This 72-nucleotide transfer RNA is filed under the name Rivulus cylindraceus (green rivulus). RNAcentral's name for it is "tRNA-Val". It matches the Rfam family "tRNA". From Rfam's summary of the family: Transfer RNA (tRNA) molecules are approximately 80 nucleotides in length. The record is from RNAcentral. Lineage: Eukaryota; Metazoa; Chordata; Actinopteri; Cyprinodontiformes; Rivulidae.